This 731-nucleotide ribosomal RNA is filed under the name Bacillus subtilis. RNAcentral describes it as "bacterial SSU rRNA". It matches the Rfam family "Bacterial small subunit ribosomal RNA", at positions 566 to 1297 of the family's 1533-position model. The record is from RNAcentral. Lineage: Bacteria; Bacillati; Bacillota; Bacilli; Caryophanales; Bacillaceae.
GGCUCGCAGGCGGUUUCUUAAGUCUGAUGUGAAAGCCCCCGGCUCAACCGGGGAGGGUCAUUGGAAACUGGGGAACUUGAGUGCAGAAGAGGAGAGUGGAAUUCCACGUGUAGCGGUGAAAUGCGUAGAGAUGUGGAGGAACACCAGUGGCGAAGGCGACUCUCUGGUCUGUAACUGACGCUGAGGAGCGAAAGCGUGGGGAGCGAACAGGAUUAGAUACCCUGGUAGUCCACGCCGUAAACGAUGAGUGCUAAGUGUUAGGGGGUUUCCGCCCCUUAGUGCUGCAGCUAACGCAUUAAGCACUCCGCCUGGGGAGUACGGUCGCAAGACUGAAACUCAAAGGAAUUGACGGGGGCCCGCACAAGCGGUGGAGCAUGUGGUUUAAUUCGAAGCAACGCGAAGAACCUUACCAGGUCUUGACAUCCUCUGACAAUCCUAGAGAUAGGACGUCCCCUUCGGGGGCAGAGAGACACGUGGUGCAUGGGUGUCGUCACCUCGCGUCGUGAGAUGUUGGGUUAAGUCCCGCAACGAGCGCAACCCUUGAUCUUAGUUGCCAGCAUUCAGUUGGGCACUCUAAGGUGACUGCCGGUGACACACCGGAGGAAAGUGGGGAUGACAUCUCAUCUUCAUGCGCCUUAUGACCUGUGCUACACACGUGCUACAAUGGACAGAACACAGGGCAGCGAAACCGCGAGGUGAAGCCAAUCUCACAUAUCUGUUCUCACUUCGGA